This 1599-nucleotide long non-coding RNA is filed under the name Sus scrofa (pig). RNAcentral describes it as "lncRNA (ENSSSCG00025000492.1)". The record is from RNAcentral. Lineage: Eukaryota; Metazoa; Chordata; Mammalia; Artiodactyla; Suidae.
GAAAGUGAGUGAAAGGACAUCUACAUCCUCCUCCUUCCCACUCCACCUGAGCCACCUACGCCUCUUCAGGGGGCCCCAAGGGACCUACCUUAAUCCAGAUCAAGUACCUGGUUUGAGUCUUGGGUGCGCAGUUUUCUAGAAUCACGAUGGAGUGCAGCUUGACUUCCGGAAAAGUGGACUUCAGGUUAUGAAUAUGACCAGACGAUCCAAAUGGCAGUUAUCUUGGGAUGUACAGUGCUGGUGUCUGUGCCUUUUCUCUCCAGCGGUCUCCUCUACGACCCCCUCCUUCCCUCCCAUGUUAGCCUCUACCACCCCCAGGGACAAGGAACACACCCAAAUCCAGGUAACGUGGAAAAGGUUGGGUGAUCUUGAUUUCAAGUUGGGUCCAACAUUGACGGCUGCUGACUGAGUCAAAAACUGCUCACUUGAUUUCAAUAGGGGUGUGGGGUGGGGUUGUGUCACAUCUGUGGGUAAUUGCCCUGAUGCCCUUGAGAUAGGCAGAGAGUGAGAGGAAUAAAAAAUCUUGCUGGAAGGAGUGCCAGGCCAGAGCAGAGCAGGGUUCUGCUGAGGAGGCAGAGGAAGGGCUGGGAAUUGCUGUUAGAGCACAUGUCCACCAGAUGGUGACAGAGCACCAGCACAAACUCCCCCUCCCCUUGCCUGAGUCUCCACAGCUACCUGGCUGCAACUCAAGACUCAAAUGUAUGUUGGAGAUAGGUUGGUGGAAGCCCAAUGUGGUGCCCAGAGCUGGGGCCUGGUUAUAGGGCAUUUCCAAGUCUCUGGGCAAUGUCCCUGCUCUCAGACGAGGGGAUGGAGUAAUGCCGUCACAUCUCAGGUACAUUCCCUCACUGUCCGGUGCCCAAUGCCUAGAGAGUUUGACAGGCUAUCUCAAAUUUGAGUCGCCUUUGCUUCAUGCAAGGCCCACCUCUGGACCCAGAAUUCCCUGGCAUGAAUUUUGGUUAUCCAGUUUGCUCGUGUCAGACUGAUUCACAUAGAGUUGAGCUUCUAGAAAGCUGGCCUUCUUGUUGUGAGUGUACUGUGUCAACCCAGUGCUUUUGGGGGGCAGGCUGCACUCAUGCCCAUGCUCUUUCUCUCGCCAGAUCUCCUCAAACUUCUUCCCUCACACCCGAGUUUCUUCCCCCCAGGAGUCUCCUGGUGCGUGGAACUGACCAGAAACUGGGGUUCCCCAAAGCCUCUGUCUGCCUUCUGCAGCUGAGCUGCUUCAGCCUCUGUGGGACACCCAUUUGAAGGAAUCUGUCCAAAUCCAUGUAAGAGAUCUCCUCUUAUUUUUUUCCCUCCCACCUGAGGCUCUUCCUCCUCACUAGACACCUGUUCCAAAGAAGCUCCUGCAACUAGGUAAGAUGAAUCAAGCCUGGGUGGUCCUUGGUUUCUAUCUGGGUCCCAGGGCUGAAGGGUGCCGAUUGAUUCAGAGCCGGCUGAAGUGACUUACAGAGCUGGGUCUUUGAUUUCAAGGUGUGGGCUUGUGUCGUGAAGGUUGAGUAUCCAGGGUGACAGUGAAGAAUCCAUACUCCCACCCAAGAGUGGAUUUCAGUGUGCCUGAGAGGAAGAGGAAGUAAGACAUCUUGCUGGCUUGUCCCCCAG